CUUUCUUCUUUAGGGUAUAAUGGCAGCCAGCAUCCUUGUUGUUACACUGCUGCCACGUUCUGCAUCAGUCUGUUAUAGCAGUAUUAAAUCCCAUCAAUGAGUCCA
Long non-coding RNA from Thalassophryne amazonica, 105 nucleotides. RefSeq lists it as uncharacterized. The transcript is spliced from 3 exons. The record is from RefSeq and is a predicted model, not a curated record. NCBI's taxonomy places the organism in Eukaryota, Metazoa, Chordata, Actinopteri, Batrachoidiformes, Batrachoididae.